AAGACGGUCUUGCUGUCACUUAUAGAUGGAUCCGCGCUGCAUUAGCUAGUUGGUAAGGUAACGGCUUACCAAGGCAACGAUGCAUAGCCGACCUGAGAGGGUGAUCGGCCACACUGGAACUGAGACACGGUCCAGACUCCUACGGGAGGCAGCAGUAGGGAAUCUUCCGCAAUGGGCGAAAGCCUGACGGAGCAACGCCGCGUGAGUGAUGAAGGUCUUCGGAUCGUAAAACUCUGUUAUUAGGGAAGAACAUAUGUGUAAGUAACUGUGCACAUCUUGACGGUACCUAAUCAGAAAGCCACGGCUAACUACGUGCCAGCAGCCGCGGUAAUACGUAGGUGGCAAGCGUUAUCCGGAAUUAUUGGGCGUAAAGCGCGCGUAGGCGGU
Molecule: ribosomal RNA, 387 nt
Filed under: Staphylococcus aureus
Lineage: Bacteria; Bacillati; Bacillota; Bacilli; Caryophanales; Staphylococcaceae
Description: bacterial SSU rRNA
Rfam family: Bacterial small subunit ribosomal RNA
Source: RNAcentral